Long non-coding RNA from Brienomyrus brachyistius, 826 nucleotides. RefSeq lists it as uncharacterized. NCBI's taxonomy places the organism in Eukaryota, Metazoa, Chordata, Actinopteri, Osteoglossiformes, Mormyridae. The record is from RefSeq and is a predicted model, not a curated record. The transcript is spliced from 2 exons.
UCCUGCUAACUAACCUCACAGCUAUCUUCCUCAUUUAGAGCUUCCUCUUUGCAGUGCUGCCCUAUUAAUGAUCGGACGCUCUGCCUUAUGUGCAUUGUUGUCUGGUACGCCAAGAGAAGUUCUGUCUGAACUGAGAACACAAUCAAAGGGGCUUCUGGGAAACAAUGCAACUGAAAAAUCUUCCAAUGACAGUGAAGCUCAAGUUAGCAGCAUGAAGUGAAGGGGUUUGAAACUCGUCAGUACAGUCCAUCCAAAAGGCCUCCCACUUAGUGUAUUUGACAAGCUGAGUUGGACACUCGGUAUGUCAGGGUGUCAGUUUGUCAAAUACCCCAAGUGAGAGGUCACUUAUCGCCAUGAUCAUAUCCUGAAGUUCCCAGACAACCAGAUUCAAAGUUAUCGUCGGAGACACAACCUGUAAGCUUGCAGUUAUCUCAGAGUACAGUUUGGAAUCGGAAGUUUACUAACAAUGCACUCUUUUCCUUAUAGAACAUUCUCCAAGCUGCUUAUGAGACAUCUGUUUGCACAGUUUAAUAUGUCAGAGUGGAAUAUUUUUGUGAUUAUAUUUAAUACGUUUAUACCAGAGGAAUCCUAUUUCUUGUCACUUAUGUCAAUAUGAAACACUUGAAUAAAAUCUAAAAUAGGUUUAAUAAUGAUUGUAUGAUAUGUAAAAUAAAAUACUUUUUGAAAAGUAACAUUGGAAAAAUAUAAUGAAUUCUUGAUAUUUUUGUUUUAAUUAUUUUUGUUAAAAUAAAAUGUAAUCUUGGCAUGAAAUGACACCAGGACAAUUAGGUACAUCAUAGGGUUAAUAAACAAACUUCAAAAUGGA